CACCGACAAGAUAAAAGUGCUCAUCUCAGCAUCCUCUCCAAGGCAUCACCCCCCGCGGUGAAACCUAUUCGCUCGGAAAGGCAGCAUAGCAGUCCAACUGUUCUGAAUUCCACCAUGUAAGGAGAUUAUUGACAGGACAGAGUGAUACAGCGCUGAAUAGGCCCUUCGAUCCACGCUGCCACAGCAACCCCCGGCAAACCCGAACCUCCUCACGGGACAUUUUACAAUGAUCAACUAUAUCUUUGGUCUGCGGGAGGAAACCGGAGGACCCGGAGAAAAGCCACGUAUUCCUCACAGAACGGCGCCGGAAUUGAACUCCAGGCUCUGUAAUGGCCUCGCGGCUCUAUUCUCUUGUGUUUCAUCUGCCAUAGAGUUAAUUGUUAGAAAGAUUGAGAGUGAUAAAAGAAAAAUAACUAAUUGAGUGAUGCCAACCUGGAAAUCACUGUCUGAAACAGCAUAUCUCUUACCAUUUAAAAAGCACCUGGAUGAGCAUUGAAGGGCCACAAUGAACAUAAAAUAGUAUAGGAAUAGGCCUGUGGACUCUAUGUGACCAUACUGCUAGUUUAAAUUAAUGGCACUUGCAUAUAUAUAAUCAAUAUUCCUCUAUUCCUUGCCUUUUCACGUGCUUGUCUAAAUGUCCCUAAAUUGUACCUGCCUCCAUCUCCUCCAAUGACAGUAGGUUAAUUGCACCGAGCACUUUUUGUGCAAUAUAAAAACCUUGUAAAGCUUUAAUUAACUUUGCCCUCUCACCUUAAAUCUUUGCCCUCUAGUAUUUGACAUUAACCCCCUGGGGGAGUAAAAAAACAUCAAUCUACCUAAUCAGUGCCUCCAAAUAAUUUUAGAUACUUCUAGCUGGUCAGAAUCAAAAUCACUUGUAUUAUCACAAAUAUGUCGUAGGUGGUGGGGUGGAAAUAUGUCUCCACCAAAGGAGGUGCAAGGCACUGCUUCUCUCUGCUGGCCAGCAAGGUGUAGUACCUGCUUAGCACCCCCCCCCCCCCCACCUCUGAUCAUGGUCAUGUGAAGCCAUGGAAGGAGGUGUUGGAUGGUCGUAUGAGCAGCUGGUACACAUUGCAAGUCCUGGUUAUGCUUCCAAGCGCACAUAAGCACAUAAGCCUCAAAGGGCUUUAAUUUAUCCUACUCCAGUGGUUCCUAGCAUUCUGGGCUAUUUCUCAUCUCUGGAGAGGAAGCACACAAUGAACACUAAGAACUUGAGGCCUUGAAUAACCAACGGCCCCUGGAGAGACCAGAGAACAUGAUUAACCUCUGUGACAUUUUAAAUAAUUAAACAUUUCAUUCAGUAACUACA
Hypanus sabinus (Atlantic stingray) is the source of this 1306-nucleotide long non-coding RNA. RefSeq lists it as uncharacterized. The transcript has 2 exons. The record is from RefSeq and is a predicted model, not a curated record. NCBI's taxonomy places the organism in Eukaryota, Metazoa, Chordata, Chondrichthyes, Myliobatiformes, Dasyatidae.